RNAcentral lists this ribosomal RNA (408 nucleotides) under Anomaloglossus tamacuarensis. Its description in RNAcentral is "LSU rRNA". It matches the Rfam family "Bacterial large subunit ribosomal RNA", at positions 1822 to 2422 of the family's 2925-position model. The record is from RNAcentral. Lineage: Eukaryota; Metazoa; Chordata; Amphibia; Anura; Aromobatidae.
CUUGAUAUAACCAUAAGAGGUCCAGCCUGCCCAGUGACAUUGUUCAACGGCCGCGGUAUCCUAACCGUGCGAAGGUAGCGUAAUCACUUGUCCUUUAAAUGAGGACUAGUAUGAAUGGCCCCACGAAAGCUAUACUGUCUCCUUUUUCUGAUCAGUUAAACUAAUCUCCCCGUGAAGAAGCGGGGAUAAACAUAUAAGACGAGAAGACCCUAUGGAGCUUUAAACACCUGAAGCAUUUGUAUUACUAUUUUUAUUUCCGAAAUCAAUUUUAAACCACACAUUAUUGCCUCUAGUUUUAGGUUGGGGUGACCGCGGAGAAAAAUAUAACCUCCACAUUGAAACGAGAUUUUUGCCUCUAAACAAAAAGUUACAUCUUUAUGUAUUAAUAAAUUAACCUUAAUUGACCCA